RNAcentral lists this ribosomal RNA (425 nucleotides) under uncultured bacterium. RNAcentral describes it as "bacterial SSU rRNA". It matches the Rfam family "Bacterial small subunit ribosomal RNA", at positions 354 to 797 of the family's 1533-position model. The record is from RNAcentral.
GUGGGGAAUAUUGCACAAUGGGCGAAAGCCUGAUGCAGCAACGCCGCGUGAGUGAUGAAGGCCUUCGGGUCGUAAAACUCUGUCCUCAAGGAAGAUAAUGACGGUACUUGAGGAGGAAGCCCCGGCUAACUACGUGCCAGCAGCCGCGGUAAUACGUAGGGGGCUAGCGUUAUCCGGAUUUACUGGGCGUAAAGGGUGCGUAGGCGGUCUUUCAAGUCAGGAGUGAAAGGCUACGGCUCAACCGUAGUAAGCUCUUGAAACUGGGAGACUUGAGUGCAGGAGAGGAGAGUGGAAUUCCUAGUGUAGCGGUGAAAUGCGUAGAUAUUAGGAGGAACACCAGUUGCGAAGGCGGCUCUCUGGACUGUAACUGACGCUGAGGCACGAAAGCGUGGGGAGCAAACAGGAUUAGAAACCCCAGUAGUCCC